UAUUAAAAUUUUUAUCUAUUUGUAUUGUAAAAAACUGGCGCGAUUGAUAAAAUAACUCAACAAUGACACUUGGCAUGUCUUGUGUACCUCAUUUUAAUGUACAAGGCCUAACUUUUGAUACUAGAAAUGAAUGAAAUUUUUAAUA
Non-coding RNA from Gossypium hirsutum (cotton), 145 nucleotides. NCBI's taxonomy places the organism in Eukaryota, Viridiplantae, Streptophyta, Magnoliopsida, Malvales, Malvaceae. The record is from Rfam.